Molecule: ribosomal RNA, 303 nt
Filed under: uncultured Thauera sp.
Lineage: Bacteria; Pseudomonadati; Pseudomonadota; Betaproteobacteria; Rhodocyclales; Zoogloeaceae
Description: bacterial SSU rRNA
Rfam family: Bacterial small subunit ribosomal RNA
Source: RNAcentral
UGGUUAAGUCCGCAACGAGCGCAACCCUUGUCACUAGUUGCCAUCAUUUGGUUGGGCACUCUAGUGAGACUGCCGGUGACAAACCGGAGGAAGGUGGGGAUGACGUCAAGUCCUCAUGGCCCUUAUGGGUAGGGCUUCACACGUCAUACAAUGGUCGGUACAGAGGGUUGCCAAGCCGCGAGGUGGAGCCAAUCCCUUAAAGCCGAUCGUAGUCCGGAUCGUAGUCUGCAACUCGACUACGUGAAGUCGGAAUCGCUAGUAAUCGCAGAUCAGCAUGCUGCGGUGAAUACGUUCCCGGGCCUU